CACGCAGGCGGUCCGUCAAGUCGGAUGUGAAAUCCCCGGGCUCAACCUGGGAACUGCAUUCGAAACUGGCAGGCUAGGGUCUUGUAGAGGGGGGUAGAAUUCCAGGUGUAGCGGUGAAAUGCGUAGAGAUCUGGAGGAAUACCGGUGGCGAAGGCGGCCCCCUGGACAAAGACUGACGCUCAGGUGCGAAAGCGUGGGGAGCAAACA
Molecule: ribosomal RNA, 207 nt
Filed under: uncultured bacterium
Lineage: Bacteria
Description: partial 16S ribosomal RNA
Rfam family: Bacterial small subunit ribosomal RNA
Source: RNAcentral